GGAAGUGAAAGUCGUAACAAGGUUUCCGUAGGUGAACCUGCGGAGGGAUCAUUAUUGUAUAACCGAGGUGCGAGGGCUGUCGCUGACCCGAAAGGUCGUGCACGCCCGAGUGCCCUCACACACGUCCAUCUCACCCCUAUGUGCACCACCGCGUGGGUCCCCCUUUGGCUUGUUCGGAGGGGGGCUUACGUUUUCACACAAACUUUGUAUGCAGUGUAGAAUGUAUUUUUUGUUUUUGCGAUCACGCGAUCAAUACAACUUUCAACAACGGAUCUCUUGGCUCUC
This 285-nucleotide unclassified non-coding RNA is filed under the name plant metagenome. Its description in RNAcentral is "partial contains small subunit ribosomal RNA, internal transcribed spacer 1, and 5.8S ribosomal RNA". The stretch from base 1 to 54 matches the Rfam family "Eukaryotic small subunit ribosomal RNA", at positions 1778 to 1831 of the family's 1831-position model. The record is from RNAcentral.